Non-coding RNA from Pimephales promelas (fathead minnow), 2398 nucleotides. NCBI's taxonomy places the organism in Eukaryota, Metazoa, Chordata, Actinopteri, Cypriniformes, Leuciscidae. The record is from RefSeq and is a predicted model, not a curated record.
CCCAUCAUUACCUCAGCCAAAACGCUGGGAGCUGGCGAAGGUCACGCAGUUCAAGACCAUGGAGUUCGCCGCUACAUAGAGGAGUUAGCGCGUAGCAUCCCGCUCCCGCCGCUGAUCAUGAACUGCCGCACCUUCAUGGAGGAGAUCCUCGAGGUCGUCGGCGUGGAGGAAAUGAGACACACCUUCGUCCGACAAGCACCCGAGCUUCACGAAGGCCCCGGCGGAGUGGUCGUCAGCACUUCCAGGGACGUUUUCUCAAUCUUGCACGAGAGAGAGCGGGCGAGGGAGAGGGAACGCAGCGAGUCUCCGGCCGCGGACUCGGACGACGCGUCGCUUCACGAGCAGCCUCGACACAUGGCCAUUCAGGUUUCCAUUCAUCCGCCGCUAGCCGACGCUGGGUGCUGUAACAUGGAAGCUCCGCCUCUUCCCGAAGUGGUUUCUCCACCGCCUGUCGAUCAGCUGCCUUUGGAGGCGGAGUCUGAAGAGAAGGAAAUCAAGGCGGAGUCUGUCGAAGAGGAGGGCGUGACGACGCAGAAUACCCAAGUCAUUUACGAAAGCCAUGUGUAAUAUCUUAAACUAAGGGUAAUGAGCUCGCUAUGCAUUCUCUUGGGAAAGAAAAAAGGUCAAGAUUUGAUUUUCUUAGAAGUUGCAUUUGUGUUAGUGUGAAUCUCUCAAAACUUAAAAAAAAGAGUGUCAGGGUCGUAUUUCGUCGUAAAAUCAAUCGAAAAGAGAAAUAAAAUAAAGCUUUUAUGUUGUAACUCAUUUCAGUUUAGCAAUUUAAACCCCGCUAUUGUAAUGCAAUACGUGUUUUUCUCAUUACUGUACAUUUAAAAUAUAGACAUCAUGCUUGUGUUUGAAUCAAUUUACAAUUGAUGCUGAUUAAACAGAAUUAUUGUCAGUGCAAUAAUUAUGCGGAUAUAAAUCAAAGGGUAUUUGCAUUAUAUAGUGUAAUGAGAUUUUCUUCUUUUUUUGCAUUACGGUAAAGAUAAUUUGGGGACUAAAUUCGAUUAAAAUGACGUUCACAAUCCCAAAAAAUUAUUCAUGUUCUUAAAAAUGUAAUUUUCCGUUUUGGAAAAAAACCAAACAUUCUUUUUGGUUUUGGGGUGAAAUAUUACCUUCUCACUUCUUUUGAGUUUGACUUGUUAAAUUGUUCUUCCCAAUGACAAUGAAUACUCAUGCUGAAUGUAUUUUGAGGCAAAGUUCUCGGUUGAUUUCAAAAUCCUGGUUUGCCCAUGGAUUAUUUCUGUCUUGUGUAGUUAAUAGAAACUACACAAAGUUCACAUCUUGUGUCUUAAUCGACAGACAGGAAGUAGUUUUACUGUUGGAUGUUGUUACAGAUUGUCCACUUCAUGAAUGAAUGAAUGAAUGAGAACGGACGACUGAUUAAUGCAUUUGGCUGAAAGAAAAACACAAACCAUUUGAGGCUGUAGUGCAUUUUCCAUUUAAUAGAAAUCAAACAUUUUUCACUAAAGAUUAAAUUAUGAUUUUUGCUUCCUCUUACAAUGCAUGAAGAAUGCAUGUCAAUCUUUUCUCAAUGCUGGAUUUGGAGAGACUUUGUGUGUUAUUUAUCCUUUGUGUCAUGUUGGCCAGGUAAAUGGCAUCGACACCUUGAAUAACAUUGAGAAAUCUCAGUUUUGAGGCAUUCGACUUUCCACUGGAGUCCUUGUACUGUUACUGUAAUUAAACAUAGUAUUAUUACUUUAUUAGUAAGUGUUUUAGUCUCAAAUGCACAACUUGGUGUCUUUUUCUUUCUUUCCUAAGAGUAAACUGUUGCAGGCGUCUUUGUUUCAUUUGAAACUCUACAUAACAGAGUCUUGACGAUGUUUAAUCUCCUGUAAUUUCCCAAACCCAUAGUUUUGCUUCUUAAAAAGGCUUUACCUCUUAGUUUCAGUGCAAACGUGUUCUAGUUCUUCAAUGUUGCUGAUCUUGCUUUGUUGGACGUCUAACGCCGGAGUGACCUGCAGUUUGUCCAACGCACUGAUGGUAACAUCUAAGCACUAGUCAUUCAGAUUGUUCCUGGAAACGAUGGCCAUUAUACUCUUCAAAACGCUGUUUAAGUAGUGAAAUAAAGCUGCUGUUGUACCAAUGAUGUUCUGUGUGUUUGCCUUCAUUCGGGUGAGGAGCUUUUGUAUCAUCCAAAUCUCUCUCUUCAUAGACGCUUGCUGAUCUCAGUGCCUUGCAGAUCAUUUUAUUUUCUCAGAUCCUUGCCUCACAAAUACAUUUUUGUUGUCUAGUGUGUGUGUUUUUUUUAUACCACUCAAACGUUUUGAAUUAUAGUAGAUUGUGUUUGAGUGUUCGAAUAAAGGUUUUCAGUUAAAAUGCUGCGGUAAAUUGUGUUAGAUAUAUAUAUAUAUAUAUGCUACUGUUAAAAUGCAUGAAUAAACUGCUGUAGACAUUU